This 148-nucleotide signal recognition particle RNA is filed under the name Nomascus leucogenys (northern white-cheeked gibbon). Its description in RNAcentral is "Metazoan signal recognition particle RNA". It matches the Rfam family "Metazoan signal recognition particle RNA". From Rfam's summary of the family: The signal recognition particle (SRP) is a universally conserved ribonucleoprotein. Lineage: Eukaryota; Metazoa; Chordata; Mammalia; Primates; Hylobatidae. The record is from Rfam by way of RNAcentral.
GCUGGGCAUGGUGGUGCAUGCCUGUAAUCCCAGCUACUCAGGAGGCUGAGGCAGGAGAACUGCUUGAACCCAGGAGGCGGAGGUUGCAGUGAGCCAAGAUUGCGCCACUGCACUCCAGCCUGGGUGACAGAGCGAGACUCUGCCUCAA